GAAAAAGGACAACUUUGAAAGCAUUAACCAAGAAUUUGAGGUUCUCAGUCUUUUUAUAGACUGCCUACAGGCAGCCUCAGAAUGGGAGAGAGGUUGGAACCCCUUUCAUGCAUGUUGGCAGCAGCUGUUACCUUAUUGCUCCCAGAGGCCUAAAAUGUCUAAUUUUGGUGUAUACACAUUUUAUUUAAAAUCUUAAGCAGAUGAUGGGAUAAAGCCACAUAUAAAUGAACCUAUCAACGUAUCAGAUCAGUCUACUUCCUCAUUGAUAUUCAAAAAUGUUCAAACAGUGAACAGACUUCUAAUCCAUUGGAAACAUCCUUCAUGGAGUAAAUUUGGGAGGACCUGGAGAGUAUGAGAAAAUAAAGCCUAGAAGCUUUUCA
RNAcentral lists this long non-coding RNA (380 nucleotides) under Monodelphis domestica (gray short-tailed opossum). RNAcentral describes it as "lncRNA (ENSMODG00000039462.1)". The record is from RNAcentral. Lineage: Eukaryota; Metazoa; Chordata; Mammalia; Didelphimorphia; Didelphidae.